This 429-nucleotide ribosomal RNA is filed under the name Chloroflexota bacterium. RNAcentral's name for it is "Chloroflexi bacterium partial 16S ribosomal RNA". It matches the Rfam family "Bacterial small subunit ribosomal RNA", at positions 355 to 776 of the family's 1533-position model. The record is from RNAcentral. Lineage: Bacteria; Bacillati; Chloroflexota.
UGGGGAAUAUUGCACAAUGGGCGCAAGCCUGAUGCAGCCAUGCCGCGUGUGUGAAGAAGGCCUUCGGGUUGUAAAGCACUUUCAGCGGGGAGGAAGGCGAUAAGGUUAAUAACCUUGUCGAUUGACGUUACCCGCAGAAGAAGCACCGGCUAACUCCGUGCCAGCAGCCGCGGUAAAACGGAGGGUGCAAGCGUUAAUCGGAAUUACUGGGCGUAAAGCGCACGCAGGCGGUCUGUCAAGUCGGAUGUGAAAUCCCCGGGCUUAACCUGGGAAAUGCAUUCGAAACUGGCAGGCUAUAGUCUUGUAGAGGGGGGUAGUAUUCCAGGUGUAGCGGUGAAAUGCGUAGAGAUCUGGAGGAAUACCGGUGGCGAAGGCGGCACCCUGGACAAAGACUAACGCUCAGGUGCGAAAGCGUGGGGAGCAAACAGG